UUGACGCUGGCGGCAGGCUUACACAUGCAAGUCGAGCGGAGAGAGGUAGCUUGCUACUGAUCUUAGCGGCGGACGGGUGAGUAAUGCUUAGGAAUCUGCCUAUUAGUGGGGGACAACAUUUCGAAAGGAAUGCUAAUACCGCAUACGUCCUACGGGAGAAAGCAGGGGAUCUUCGGACCUUGCGCUAAUAGAUGAGCCUAAGUCGGAUUAGCUAGUUGGUGGGGUAAAGGCCUACCAAGGCGACGAUCUGUAGCGGGUCUGAGAGGAUGAUCCGCCACACUGGGACUGAGACACGGCCCAGACUCCUACGGGAGGCAGCAGUGGGGAAUAUUGGACAAUGGGCGCAAGCCUGAUCCAGCCAUGCCGCGUGUGUGAAGAAGGCCUUAUGGUUGUAAAGCACUUUAAGCGAGGAGGAGGCUACUUUAGUUAAUACCUAGAGAUAGUGGACGUUACUCGCAGAAUAAGCACCGGUUAACUCUGUGCCAGCAGCCGCGGUAAUACAGA
RNAcentral lists this ribosomal RNA (504 nucleotides) under Acinetobacter calcoaceticus. Its description in RNAcentral is "bacterial SSU rRNA". It matches the Rfam family "Bacterial small subunit ribosomal RNA", at positions 33 to 529 of the family's 1533-position model. Lineage: Bacteria; Pseudomonadati; Pseudomonadota; Gammaproteobacteria; Moraxellales; Moraxellaceae. The record is from RNAcentral.